AUUGAACGCUGGCGGAAUGCUUUACACAUGCAAGUCGAACGGUAGAGGGGGCAACCCCUUGAGAGUGGCGAACGGGUGAGUAAUGUAUCGGAACGUGCCCAGUCGUGGGGGAUAACGUAGUGAAAAUUACGCUAAUACCGCAUACGAUCUAUGGAUGAAAGCGGGGGAUCGCAAGACCUCGCGCGAUUGGAGCGGCCGAUAUCAGAUUAGGUAGUUGGUAGGGUAAAGGCCUACCAAGCCAACGAUCUGUAGCUGGUCUGAGAGGACGACCAGCCACACUGGAACUGAGACACGGUCCAGACUCCUACGGGAGGCAGCAGUGGGGAAUUUUGGACAAUGGGCGAAAGCCUGAUCCAGCCAUUCCGCGUGCAGGAUGAAGGCCCUCGGGUUGUAAACUGCUUUUGUACAGAACGAAAAGGUCUCUAUUAAUACUAGGGGCUCAUGACGGUACUGUAAGAAUAAGCACCGGCUAACUACGUGCCAGCAGCCGCGGUAAUACGUAGGGUGCAAGCGUUAAUCGGAAUUACUGGGCGUAAAGCGUGCGCAGGCGGUUAUAUAAGUCAGAUGUGAAAUCCCCGGGCUCAACCUGGGAACUGCAUUUGAGACUGUAUAGCUAGAGUACGGUAGAGGGGGAUGGAAUUCCGCGUGUAGCAGUGAAAUGCGUAGAU
RNAcentral lists this ribosomal RNA (668 nucleotides) under uncultured bacterium. Its description in RNAcentral is "bacterial SSU rRNA". It matches the Rfam family "Bacterial small subunit ribosomal RNA", at positions 28 to 695 of the family's 1533-position model. The record is from RNAcentral.